Long non-coding RNA from Juglans microcarpa x Juglans regia, 249 nucleotides. RefSeq lists it as uncharacterized. The transcript is spliced from 2 exons. The record is from RefSeq and is a predicted model, not a curated record. Lineage: Eukaryota; Viridiplantae; Streptophyta; Magnoliopsida; Fagales; Juglandaceae.
AGUUCUUGGAAUCUAUGUUUCUGAUAAUAUUCGUGAUAAAUUUGGUUUGAAUUUAAUCCGACUGUUUCGGAUCAAUAUCAAUUUGAUCUAAGCGUUAAAAAUCUGAUAGGAUGUUUGAACAUAGUUUGCGUCAAUGUAUGUAUUUAGAUAAGUGGGGAAAUUUGAGAACUUCGAUAAAUAUGAGAUUCUAAAGAGGAAAUUAUCCGCCAGGCGCCAAUACGAAAACAUGAUAUUUGUUUUUUAAGUAUA